GAGGAGGAGCCCGAGGUGGCGGUGACCGUCGGUGGCGCGGGGGUCGCGGUGGACCGAAGGAGGACCGGCGGGGAGGGGCCCGGUGACUGGGCCGCCGUGGCCGGUGGCGGCCCCGGCCGAGGCGCCGGUGGGGAGGGGCGGCCACCAGGGAGGUGAUGUCCGCCGGAGAUGGGAGUGGAGGAGGGUCGGCGACUGUGAGGAACUCCGGCGGCGUGGGGAGGGCCUGGUGACGGAGGGCCGACCGAGGGGGCCGGGGCGAGGUCGACCUCGGAAGGAGGGAGACGGCUUGGGGGUUUCCAGACGCAGGGAGGCGAGCGGGCGCGUGGAGGGAUCCGGUGUGAGGGGUGGCCGGCGCUGGGAGGGCAGCCGACGGCGGGGCAGCACGAUGGUGGUACGGGACGUGCGGUCGCUGGGGGGUGAAGGUCUCGGUAGAUCGAGAGGAGAGGGUUCCUCGCGAGGGGAGGGGUCUCGCGACGGGAAGGAGAUGGGGGCGAGGGGGGCCGAUCCCCUUGUGGGUUCGGUGAGUGGGGGAGAUGAGGGGGGCCGAUCCCCUUGUGGGUUCGAUGAGCGGGGGGGGGGAGACGAGGGGGGACGAGGGGAAAAGUGUCGGUGGGGGGAUUAGGUGGGUCGCAGGGGCGAGAGGCUAGGCGGGUGUGGCUCUCGCGGGGUGGGAGCCGGCGGCGGCUGCUGGGAACGAGGGGAGAGGGCGCUAGGGUUUGGGUGGGAGUGGCCGUCUGGGCCACCUUGGCCCAGUCGGGCCAGGGGGUGGGGGGUCUUUUCCUUUUUUUAUUUUUUAUUAGUUCUAAUCCUUUUUAUUGUUCUAUUUUUAUUUACUUUCUUUUAUAAUUUAUAAUUAUACUUUUAAUCCUUUCUUUUAUUUAUUUCUUUUACAGUUACUAUAUUUCUAUUUACUUAUUUUGUUUAAAGCUCCUGUUGUAAAUAUAUUGGGAUUAUCAAUUAUUCCAAAAGUUCCUGAUUCAUUUUUAUACUUUGCUAGGUAACCUUUAUAACUCCCGACGUUAUUAUUUCAACAACAUAGAAUCUUUUCAUGUUUGACUUAAUCUCGAAGCUUCGAAUUUUGAUUCGGUUUCAAUCAACAUAAGAACAUUGAAGUAAUCCAUGGUGACGUGGCGUCAUUAGCGUGGGAUCGUUGUCGCUUAAUUACAAUCAUCACUGUAGCAAAAGUCGAGGAUGUCACAAUUCUCCCCUACUAACAAGAAUUCUUGUCCCGAGAAUUAAGAGGUAGAAGGAAAGAGCUGGGGUAUUCAUCACGAAGAUGAUCCUCGCGUUCCCAAGUGGCCUCAUCUUCAGAAUGAUUUGACCACUACACUUUAAGGAACUUGGUGACCUUGCGACGAGUCUUACGUUCAACUUGGUCGAGAAUGCGGACCGGAUGCUCUUUAUAAGAGAGGUCUUGUUGCAGUUGUAGCAUAUCCUGAUCCACUUUUCGAAUAGGAUUCUUGAAGCAGCGGCGGAGCUGAGACAGAUGGAAGACAUCGUGAACCUAGGAAGGAUUUGACGGCAGAUCCAAUUGACAAGCCACUCUUCGACGCCUUUCGAGAACAGUGAAAGGACCAAUAUAGCGAGGAGCUAACUUGUCCUUGAUCCCGAAAUGGUGUGCACCUCUCAUUGGUGUGACACGAAGAUAAGCCUUUUCGCCAGGUUGAUAGACCAUAUCUUGAUGAUGACAGUCAUACUGACUCUUCUGAUGAGAUUGAGCAGCCUUCAGAUUCGCAUGUAUAAUGCGGACUUGAUCUUUAGUAUGUUGGAUAAUACCCAGACCGAAGAGCGAUUGGUCCAUUGAACGGUGGCUGUGGAACUCCACACGAAGUCAAGUGUAAAGGGUACUUUGGAGUCAAAGAUGUACAGGAGAGCCAGGUUUCAAUCCUGUGGAACUUUGGGUUAUGGAUCCACCACGUGGACCGAGAGUAGAUAGAGGGGUGGCAUAUUAUACGGUCUUGGUAGCAAGACAUGUCAGAGGGUAGUCUGUCAGUUAUGUUGGCAACAACGUCGGUACCAAGGGCGGGGGACGAAUAGAACCAUUUUCCUGCUCGUUGAAACGAGGCGGACCAAUAGGCAAAGUUCUCGUCCACCGGGGGCUACCGGAAUGUUAUCCACAAUACUAACGGGGUCUUACCGACAGAGUUGUAUACCGAGAUUUUUACCUAAGCAGGGAAUUAACACUGCUUGGAUAAGUUAUGCCACAAGAAAGGUCAAACAGACCAAUGAGAAUGAGAAUGCGUGCACACACACAAGAAUUUAAAGUAUACCAUUCCUGAGGGGAACAUAGAGUAUGGUAUACAUGAUAGGUCAUCAAGUACAUAACCAUCUUGAUAAAAGGACAAGAAAAAUCACGAUGUUUACCCAUACCAUAUGGUUUGGAUAAUUGAUCAAAAACAAUUUGGCAUUGCGCUUCCAAUGUUCCUGAUGAUGUUAGGAGUACCACAUCCGUGCUUCGAGGUAGCAUCAACAUGGUUAUCAGGUAAAUGUUGAACUAAUGGGUACACAAAGAGGAUUCAUGAGGAACAACUUAUGAAAUAAGUCAUAUAAUUUUCGCAUGGUUGAAUGGCUAACCUUACGUACAGAAGAAUUUAUAACAAUAGGUCAUGCGGCCCGGUGUGCCAGUCAAGACAUCACCGUACCGGGUUAUAUGAGACCAAAGUUAUAAUUAUUGGAAAAAUGUUCCAACCAUCAUAUCUGCCCGAGAUUCAGAUCUGAUUGGUGUCAGGGGUACCUCGGACUCAAUAUGCCUGAGAAGAAAGAUGAAGACGCAAGAUCCUCAUGAUAUGAGCUACACAAGCAAACCUUGAACCAUGAGUUCGAUUCUAAUACAUAUGAACACAAUGUCAAGACAUUCGUGCCCACGUGGAAUUCUUACGUCAAAAUGCAACUGAGUUCUGAUUUGUGAACCAUCAUCGAGGAUAACAAGGCUCCAUGUGUAAGUCUGGAUUAGCUCUUAUGAAGGAAUUCCUUUUUCCCUGGUCAAAUCAGUCAGUGGCUUGACGUGCUAAAAGAAAUUAUAAGAAGUGAAGAUAACAAAUCUUCAAAACAUAUAACACUUCGCACAUGCGUGAAUGAUUUGGUAUUUCCCGAGAAGCAGCGAAACAAAACUUUCACAUAUUCACGGUGGAAAGAGUGCACGUGAACUUUGGGAAAACAUUUCUGUUAUCAAGCACGAUCUUCAUGAGUUAGGCACAAGGAUAAUGCUUUCAAGAGCUUCAUCACGAACCAUGGAGAACUUGAGGGUGUGGCCGAUGGGCUCAGCAACAAUCCCUCCAAAUUUUGACAGGGAUGAAUUUCCAAAAUUACAAUAUGAAGGAGAUAGUUUUUGUCCAAACAAAUGGUAUAAUGCCAUAUGCUCGAGGGAACAACAACAAUUAAACAUUGGUCGAAGGGUGCACUCGAAAAUACUGACGUAGUAGUGCAACCAAUGUCCAAAAUGAUGAGCCAACACCCCACUCAUUAAGAAUGAAACAAUCAAUUGUUAACCUCAAGGCAAUGGGGUUGCCAGAAGUAUUGGAAUCACACAUCAGAGUUCACUUGUUGGUAUUCCUGUUUGAAACAAUACGGGACCAAGAAAUGAAUGGUGGUGGCGAGAAGUAUUACUAUAUCAAGAAUUCUUAAGAUGUGUGCAAUUCUCACGACAUCCUUGACAUAAAGAUGGUAAUACUCCAAGGUAGAAGAUAACGUAAGCUGAAUAGCAAGGGACUUAAGGGACAACACAAAACAUGAACACGUUUGUGUUGGAGGGAAGGUAAACAAUGAUGCCGAUGAUAAUACAAUCAUCGAGGGGCAACGAUGGUAUUUGUCAACAUGCAUUCGAUUGAUACCCUGCAAGAGCUCAGAAUGCUGAUGAUGAUCACAACACAUUUGUCGAGAAAUUUCAUGAAGAUGUAAUCAUUUAGCGACGGCAUCAAGCAAGGGAAUGAUGAAGCAAGAGGUUGUCGGAAACACAGAUAAGACCGCUCGCUUAGAAUUGAGAUUGCCUUUCAAUACAACCAACAUGAUGUGGAAAGCUCGAUGCAAGCUUAACGCAUAGUUGGAAUUGUGUUCCAGGGAUGAAGGGUAUAGAUAGCAUGGUCGAGCUCCAACAUGACGAUGAUGAUGUAGCUUAACAACUUGGAAUGACAGGAUCGAGUACAACUCGUAAACAAGGAAGAUUACUAAAAAUUGUUGAAUCGCAAUGCGUACUCGAUUCAGUUAUCGAUGUACUCGCGUGUCCAACAACUCAAACACGAGGCAACUGGAAUUAAGGAAAAUAUCAUAGUUGAUGAGGAGCUCAAGAAGUUCCAUAGCUCCGCGAUAUCCUCGAGCUAUAAGGAAUAAUACUCGGAGGUAGAUCAACUUUAAGGUUUGGACCGGUGUGUUGAUCUCAAGAAGACAAGUACUUUAACUCGUCUAAGAAUGAAAUCAACGUAGGACAACAUGGUCAGAACCAUGACUGUAAAGGACAAGACCACAGAUCCCAGAUUUAAACUACAGAAUGAAUUGAUUAUUGAUACGAGAAGUUUCUAUGAUAGGAUCAACGUCGUUUCCAUGGGCAUGAACACAAAGUUCAAGGUCUACUCCCACUUCAUCAAUGCAUCACCUGCCAUUUAUUCCUCGCCUUUGAUAAGGUUGUAGCUUUGAAAGAACAUUCGGCAAAACACCAGAAGAGCAAGACUCGUGAAAACUCUUCGGAUCAUAUUGAUUUAGUAAGGCAUAGGUUCAUCCCAUAGGGGCAUCUUAGGAACAUAUACCAUACACUCCAAGAGUAAUUAACACAUGCUUGAAGGGCAUGGCUGACAAAAGCGUAGGGUACAACUCAUCAUACGGAGAAGACACAAUUUACCAAUGGCAUUAUGUAUCAGUGGAACACUAUCACAAGAAUUUUUGAAUAUAAAGGAUGUCGUCGGAUAAUAACCCAGAAUGAGUCUGGCAAUCCACAAAUGAUCUGAUGUGAGUAUCGGUACUCAAUCAUAGGGGGUAAAACGCAAGUCAUCUGAUUAUAGAACAUCUGAAAAAUAUCGAUACUUAACUACCAAAGGAAUUAAGAUUUCCAGAUUGGUGUAUCAUAAACAGAUGCUCUAGUCAAAUACCAGUAAUUUGAAUGGACUUAGAUGGACAGCCAACCAAAGUUGAUUUGUCGAGAACCCGCUCCGUUUGGAAGGACGUCUGAGGCGAAAGAUAAUUCAUGAGUAUCAGCAGAUGAUUGUGUGCAUUCACCCAAAGGUAGAAUCAAUAAGAUCACAGGAAAAUACACAAGGAAUUUUAAUGAAUGCGGCUAGUCAUAUGGAUUUAACCAUAAUGCAAGCAGGUGAGAAAAGCCAUGAACAUUAGGCUACGGAGGAUUUCGGAAGACCGAAUAAUAAGUCGAAGAACUUUCAAAACCCAUGACAACUGAUGAUGGACGAAUCCCCGGUAAGAUAAUUCGUUGCAUCUCGUAAAACAAGAGGAAUUGAAGAAAAAAGUAUGAACGACAUUUGUAUGUAGUCAUCCUUAGUGGUUGACGAAGGAAGGGAAAAUUGCAGAAGCAAUGAGCACAACAGCUCAUGAGAACAUCGAAGAGUAACUGCAGUUCUUCUGAGCGAUAAAGCCAUCGUCUGGAAUACGGGGCUCUCCGGGAUGAAAUAUUUACGAGAACCUAAUGUUAGAGUUAGUAAAAUCUUUAACCCGAAAGAGAAGAGAGAAUAGAGCCCAGAGUAUAGGAAAGGAGUAAAAGAUACUAAUACCACCCAAUUGAGAUGUGGGCCCGUAAGCCACAACAUCAGUGUUAGUAAAGUUUUUCAAACACUAGACUCAACUUCGGCCAAGGAGUUGGAAAGGGGGCUACCUACAGGCAGUCGGCUCUGAUACCAACUUGUGACACCCUCAGUGUAAUCGUAUGCUAAACAUACACGCAAAUGCGUACGAUCAAACCCAAGGACUCAUGGGAAGAUAUCACAACACAACUCUAGACGCAAAUAAAAUAACAUCAGCUUCAUAUUACAAGCCAGGGGCCUCGAGGGCUAGAAUACAGAAGCUCGAUAAACACACGAGUCAGCGGAAGCAACAAUAUCUGAGUACAGACAUAAAACAUGGAGUGCCUUAGAGAAGGCUAGCACAAAAGAUACAUCGAUCGAACGACGCGAGGCCUCCUGCCUGGGAACCUCCUAACUACUCCUGAUCAUCAGCGGCCUCCACGUAGUAGUAGGCACCGUCGGGGUAGCAGUCUUCGUCGGCGGGGACCUCCAACUCCUGGGCUUCAUCAUCUGGUCGCAGCAAACGGAUCAAGGGGACAAGGGGGAAGCAAAGCAGCGGUGAGUACUCAUCCAAAGUACUUGCAAGUCUUACAUCAGAACUAUUCUAAUUAUGCAUCAGUAUCAAAGAAGGGGGGUUAUAUGUGGACUGAUUACAACAAUGCGAGAAUAGAGAGAGAAGGCCUAGUCCUAUCGAAGACCAGCAUCUUCAGGGUCUUGCAGCAAUAGACGAGAGUAGAACAGGGGUAAAACAUUAAUAGUCAUAUUGUUGCAGCAAUAUUAAAGUGAGGUCACGCCUAAAGAUCCUCCCUCAACUCCCUACGAGGAAGCAAUCCCGAGGCAAACUAAUUCCAGUUAAGUAACAAUUGUAGCUGUAUAAGAUCGGGGCACAACUCCAAGUCGUCCUGUAACCGUGGACACGGCUAUCCGAAUAGUUAAUUUUCAUCCCUGCAGGGGUGCACCACAUGUCCCGUCACGCUUGAUAACACUCUGGCCGGACAUACUUUUCUGGGUCCUGCCCGGCCUCGGAAUAUCGACACGUCGCAGCCCCACAUAAGACUAAUCAGAGAGGUCAGCCCGCCGGUCUAAAUCCUAAACGCAAAGGGUUCAUGGGCCCAGUUCCCCUCCGCGCUCCUGCAUGAUGCGAGGGCGUCCGGCGUCAGUCCUAGCAUCCCUUAAUCACAAGCGCAAUGCAUCUCGGGACCACUCAGGCGCGCGCCACUAUGAUUGCUGACAUCUGAAAAGCUUCGGCCGAUAUCGCGACGCCGAGUACCCAUAAUUCUUCCCGCGUAGCCGGUUAGUGCGAAAAGGUCUCCGACCAACCCAGAUCAAAUACCCAAAUCCAUUAAAAUUUUAAUUAAGCCAGCAACACAGUCUCACGGGAAUCCACCCGUCUUACAACUAAUCACCAAAGAUCCCAGUAACAUGGUCGAGUAACUGUGUGGCUGUAACAUCGGGGGGAAUCCGAGGUAUCACCCUCGUUGGAUUCUGAACGAUCUACCCGUCAAGGUGGGCUUAGAGGAAUCACCCUUGAGGGUCCCUCACUUGAGGGGUUGCACGACACAGGCGUCAUCGGGAAUGGUGAAAGAGGAAUCACCCUCGAUAACCACGACCGACUAGCUAUACUACAGAGAUAUCAUCAGGAGUACUUAGCGAGGUGUCACCCUCGGUACCCGAUAGUAUCUCUGUAGCGUCGUACAACGAAGGGGGUGAAUGUGCUGUGUCGGGUCUGGCUCGUCGAUCAGAGAUCGAGAUUUGAAAACAAGCGGGGCUACUGGACUACGGGGUCAGAGGGGAUGACUGCUCCACCUAUACUAAGCAUAUUAAAGGUACAUGACUGAAAGUAGCAGUUCAUCAAAAAUAGGCUAUGCAUCAGAUAUAGGAGCUAACUACAACAGUAGCAAAAUACUAAUGCAAGCAGUAGGAAGAAAGACAUAGGCGAUAUAGGAAUGAUCAAGGGGGGUUUGCUUGCCUUGCUGCUCUGCGGCAAAGGACUGAUCGGCACGGUCGUGGAUGUACCCGGCAGCAGCGUCAGUCUCGGGGUCUACCGGUAAGAAGAGGGGGAAGAAACAAUAAAUAAUAGCAACGGUGGAACACAAAGCAUGACAUGGCAAGAUGCACGCUAGACAUGAGCUAACGCAGCAACAUCCGUCAUAGACGGGUCGGAAGAAUAUCUGACGAUAUUUUCCCGGGUCUCGGGCUACUACCGGCUAUACUGGAAACGAUGGAAAUGUUCCAUGUUUGCUAUGCUAGGGACGCGUGACACAUGGACCGUGUAUCCGGGUUCGUCUCGUUCUGCCGAUCAACUUUCAUGUUGAAAAUAAUUUGAUCUCACUUACAGAUUAUUUUAUAUUACUUUUAAAAGUUUUAUUCAAUAAUUAGGAAUUAAAAACAGAUUUAAAUAAUUUAAUAAAAAGCUAUUAUGACAUCAGCAUGAUGUCAUGCUGACAUCAACAUUUGACUGGUCAACUCACUAGCGGGUCCCGAACGUCAUAGGCACAAGUUUCAAUAUAGAUUAAAUAUUGAUUAAUCCGAUUAAUUUAAUGGGGACCCACGUGACAUACUCUAAUUAUUCUAAUUAUCCAACUAACUAAUUAACUGAUAUACCUAUUUAAGUAAUUAACUAAAUAAUUAAUAUACUAAUUAUUCAUUUAUUUAUUUUAUUAAUAAAAACAUAUAUAUAUAUAUAUUUUUUAACAGGGUUUGUGUGGGGCCUCCCUGUCAGUGGGAGAGUGGGGGGGGGGGGUUGGCCCCACCGGUAAGUGGCAUUAUCCAUACCACAAUUUACGCACACAUAUUCAUAAUGCAUUUUCUUAUAUACAUGCAUACAUACAUAAUAAUACAUACAUAUCUAGUACGGAUAAACAUACACAUUUCUACAUACAUCCAUACAUAAUACAUACAUAUUCUCAUUUUCUCUUUCUUUCUCUCACAUCUCUCUGUGACAACUCUCUGUGUUGUCUAUCUCACCUUCAUCUCUCAACAUAGAGGAAGGGGGAAAUCUCCACUACACCUACGAGACCUCAACGGCGCCGGAACGAGAAACUAACUUCCGGAACGGAACCGGGGCAGAAAACGGAAGGAGAGGGUGGGAGGAGCCCGUAAAAGGGCUCACCGGCGUUGCCGGGGAACGGGGCGACGAGGCUCGGGGUCGGCCGUUGUGGAGGAUGACGAGGAGGCGGAUGGUGCGGUGCCGGUGAGGAGGAGCCCGAGGUGGCGGUGACCGUCGGUGGCGCGGGGGUCGCGGUGGACCGAAGGAGGACCGGCGGGGAGGGGCCCGAUGAAGGGCCGCCGUGGCCGGUGGGGGCCCCGGCCGAGGCGCCGGUGGGGAGGGGUGGCCACCGGGGAGGUGAGGUCCGCCGGAGAUGGGGCUCCCGGAGAUGGGAGUGGAGGAGGGUCGGCGACGGUGAGGAACUCCGGCGGCGUGGGAGGGCCUGGUGACGGAGGGCCGGCCGAGGGGGCCAGGGCGAGGUCGACCUGGGAAGGAGGGAGACGGCUUGGGGGUUUCCAGACACAGGGAGGCGAGCCGGCGCGUGGAGGGAUCUAGUGUGAGGGUUGGCCAGCGUUGGGAGGGCAGCCGACGGUGGGGCAGCACGAUGGUGGUAGGAGACGUGCGGUCGCUGGGGGGUGAAGGUCUCGGUUGAUCGAGAGGAGAGGGUUCCUCGCGAGGGGAGGGGUCUCGCGACGGGAAGGAGAUGGGGGCGAGGGGAGCCGAUCCCCUUGUGGGUUCGGUGAGUGGGGGAGACGAGGGGGGCCGAUCCCCUCGUGGGUGCGGUGAGUGGGGGGAGACGAGGGGGGGACGAGGGGAAAAGUGUCGGUGGGGGGGAUUAGGUGGGUCGCAGGGGCGAGAGGCUAGGCGGGUGUGGCUCUCGUGGGGUGGGAGCCGGCGGCGGCUGCUGGGAACGAGGGGAGAGGGCGCUAGGGUUUGGGUGGGAAUGGCCGGCUGGGCCACCUUGGCCUAGUCGGGCCGAGGGGGUUGGGGGUCUUUUCCUUUUUUUUUUAAUAUUUUUUUAUUAAUUCUAAUCCUUUUCAUUAUUCUAUUUUUAUUUACUUUCUUUUAUAAUUUAUACUUUUAAUCCUUUCUUUCAUUUAUUUCUUAUACAUUUACUAUAUUUGUCUUUACUUAUUUUGUUUAAAGCUCCUUUUGUAAAUAUAUUGGGAUUAUCAAUUAUUCCAGAAGUUCCUGAUUCAUUUUUAUACUUCGCUAGGUAACCUUUAUAACUCCCCAACGUUAUUAUUUCAACAACAUAGAAUCUUUUCACGUUUGACUUAAUCUCGAAGCUUUUAAUUUUGAUUCGGUUUCAACCAACAUGAGAACAUUGAUGUAAUCCAUGGUGACGUGGCAUCAUUAGCGCGGGAUCGUUGUCGCUUAAUUACAAUGAACACUGUAGCAAAAGUCGAGGAUGCCACACUCAACUCCCCGGAAGAAAUUAAGUCAGACAGGAGGUACCAAGACACAACUCCGUCACAUCGGCAUCAUAUAGAUUGCAAAAAUAUCCGCGUGAUCCUAAAAAAAUUUGAGUGAGAAGAGGAGUAGAAUUAAAUUAUUACGUCAAGAUUCCUCACGAGAGCAUAGAAGAGGAGAAAAAAGAAUCCUACUCUCCGAUAUAUAACUAGACUCAUAGUAGUUUUUCACUAGACUCGACUCAGCCAAGUUCGAUCAAUCAAGGGGGCUCCUAAGUCGGUACUGCUCUGAUACCAACUUGUCACGCCCAAGAUGCGACCCUAUCCUCAAUUUGGCACGAGGGCCUCGUCAGGGAUAGAAGCGCAUCUCGUCGUGUCUCAAGAAUGGAUAUCGUUACAAGUACAUGUACUGAAAAGAAGAUAUAUAUAUAUAUAUAUAUAUAUAUAUAUAUAUCUUCUUUUCAGUACAUGUACUUGUAACGAUAUCCAUUCUUGCGACACGACGAUAUGCGCUUCUAUCCCUGACGAGGCCCUCGUGCCAAAUUGAGGAUAGGAUCGCAUCUUAGGCAUGACAAUUUGCUCACGCGUUCAAAGGUGCCAGUGGAUAACCAAAAGAAUGGAAGUCCAAGAUUUCACUAAAUGUUAAUCUUCAUAUGGUAUCUUCGAAGGGGAGUUGAUCUAACAAAGACAACCACGCCCGUCGCAAUGGCAAGGAAGUAAGUAGUGUUCAUAAUGAGUCAAUCAAAUGCCUCUUUUUCCUUUGCAAGUUUGGGCAUUGUACAUGCCGAAUCAUCCAAAUAGUGUCUAGUUUAUAUCCGUCCACAAGUGUUACCAAUAUUUCCGGUCAUUGAUUAGACUAUAUUCCAAAUAGUUUUUAGAACUCUAACAAGGUUGGGAGUGAAUGCCUUAUUAAGGUUGCAUUUGAAAUGUAAAAAUGAUUUAAUAUUUAAUGUCAAAAACUAUGUUCCUUUGCAGGUUAUUUUACGUUGUACACAUUCGCUUCGUAUGUAUGCUACACCAAGCGGAGUACCAACCGCUCUUCAAGGCAGUGUGUAUGCAGUUGGAGCGGAUAGCCAAGGAGGUUUUCCCCCACCAAAAGGUACAACAUAAUCUCCGGAUUGGUUCACCACCUUCUUUAAAAUAGGCAUAGUAUCGGUCCUAUAUGACUGCACUGUUGCCGAUAUGUUGGUUUAUUAUCUUUCGUAAGACGUAUUGGUGAUUGAAUGUAUGCAUCUUAGUUGUGUAGAGAUCGGGCGAUGCUGAUCAUUCCUUCUAUCCGCUUAGUUAUAUAAUUUGAGUUAAUAAAAGCGUAAAGAAAUGUCAUACUAAACACAACCGAAUGUGUGCCCUCCGUUCUUGAAAACAGACCACCAAUGUUGCAAACAAGCCCUUUUGUCAGCGUCCAUGGAGCGGGAUUUAGUUGUGGGCAUCCUAUAGUGAUUGAAAGGGGAGAUGGGAGGGAAGGGGGCUUCAGCGGUGCCUAUGGCUUUCUUCCCGAGCCGCUCCAUCAAGAGAGCAAGGCGGGCGGGGACCUAGUUCUCUUUAGCAAGUUGGGUAAUUCAAUUUUGUUGCUCGUGUUAUGGAGUGAUGUGCUAAAAAAGAACACCCCCACCCCAAUUUACCGAAAUCUAGUAAAUUAAUGCCUUCUACUCAACUUAAAGAUAGUGCUGAUGGGUUGCGAUAGAUGAAGAAGAACAUAACCUUCAUGACACAGGGCAUCUCUAUUUGUUUUUCUCAAGCCAAUUUUUUAGAGAAGCGAUAUGUAGCAUAUACAUUAUAUAGUCAUAUCCAUGUCCACCAAAAAUGCAUAGGCUUUCCUAAAAACAUAGGCCUUAGAUAGAAGACGUUCGAGCACUGGACAUGCACUAGUCUUGUGUACUAAGGAUGGGUCUGAUUACCUGCAUCUGUAGCCCACCUUAGUCUAGUUGAGUGAGUACAGGUCGAAAAUCAAGUUUUGCAUAUAUGUAUUUGUUUUCUCGCAUGCUCCAGCCUGGCUGAGAGCAACAUCGAUACUUAUGUUUGGUUGUCUGCAUGUUCUACCCAUAUGGAGAGAUGUUGUUUGGUUACAUACAACACAAGUGAUGUGUUAACCUCUUUUAGGAGUGAUAAGGUUACCAGUACACGCACACACACACAACAACAUCACACCUAACCAUAGCAUAAACCAUAAGUUCAUAACCAUAACCGGAGCAGUUCAGAGAGGCUAACAUGGGAAUAAUACCAUCUUAAGCACAUAGUCUUCAAACUUGAUUAACCUAACAUAGAUAAAGGCGAUCCCAUACUAAACACCAUCAACACCAUCCACACCACCACCCUCACCAGCAGCAACACCACAAUCAGCAGUAGCAACACCCUCAUCAACACAUUCAACAUCCAUGUUGAAUGCUCUCGAGUGCGGCCCACACCUUGACACAACCUCAAUGCCCUCGUCGUUGAAGACUCAGACCUGAAAGUUUGCAGGACUCACCGGCUUGAAGGUUAGAAGACACCCUAUACAGAUCUCGUGGGCUACGCAUAAGGUGGCCCAAGCCUUAUCAAAGGGCGAUCCUUCCACCGAUCAUCUUGGUGGUGACCUUUCAGGUGCAGUUGUUGUUCAUCGUCGGCCUGAAAAGCUAUGCGACUAGGACAUGUGCUUGCUGAAGGCAGGGUCGGCAGCAGAACGUCCAAUUUGGGUCCAAAUAUGGUCUUGGAGAAGUGCGUCGGGCACGCGUUCACCUCAUAAUGGUCAUACUUAUUAACCCUCUUCGAGGGGUGUCGAUGUCCAGCCUCAACACUUUCUAAUUCUUUCCUGGACCUCCUUGACCUUUCGAGCAGAUGCAACCUCCUUGACCUUCCCGAAAGAGUUGGCCUCCUUGCAAGCCUUGUCAUUGCUUCCCAUGAUGAGCUUCUCAAUUUGCAUUGCAGAUAUACAUAUGAACUAGUGAUCGAAUGAAACAUGCACGACACUUAUGAGCUACAUAACUAUGAAGGACAUUGACGAGCUAUACGAGCACCCGACAAGGAUUUCUCAGCGUGGGUGAUCUACAGUGCGUCUCGAGGUGGUCGACUACAAACUCUAGGAUACCACAUGUGUGUUCAAACUCUUGAAAUUGCUACGACUUGUGUGAAAACCGUCGAAUCAUGGAUUUGUUCAAUCCUUGACAUCCCUACCCCGUAUGUUCAAACCUUCCAAUUGGUUUAAUUGGUCCCAAAUCACAAUGAUUCAAUCAUUCCCAAAUCAAAGCCUAACCCUCAAUCGAAUAGGUGCAAUCCACAAAAAAUCGAGCGAUGUGUGUUAAAAUAGAUGCUACACACAGGAUGGAGGACAUGCCAACGUAGACGCGGACGAGGGGAGGGGGGCUCCCAGCCGGUGCUCGAUAUGCAGAUCUUUGUCGUCAUCACUUGUGAGAGACAAGGAGGGGAGUGUGCGGUGGGAGAAGGGUGAAGUGAAACGGUUGGAGAAGAGAGGAGUGAAGCGGUAGGAGCGGUGAUGAGAGCUACGUCACCGCUUCAGGAGCCAACACGGUUUCUAUUGAGUGUGCGGCUAGUUUUAUCAAUGUCCGUUCCCUCGCUUUUUUAAAUUGACCGUUUUCAACAAACCAAACACAAAGGUGAGUUGAUAUCCAUACGGACCGUGAUUUUUACACAAUCCAGGUAAUCAAAUCUGCUACAACUACACCGAGCAGGACCUAAUGCGAAACAACAAAACGCUUCCCCGAUAGAUGCUGCAAAUUGGUAUGUGCACGACCACUAAGACUUGGAUCGGCUCCGCUCCACUCUUUUGACUCCGUGGAGUUGCAGCGUUCGGCGCGCUCCUCCCGCUCCCGAAGCGGAGUUGUGGAGUGGAGUGGAUCCGAACAGGUCCUAAGUGUGUAUCCCUUGAUGCUAUAUAAUAAAGGGGAUAAAAUGUCUUUUAUCAAAAAAAAAGUACAAACAGCUCCAAGCAAACUGGACGCAUACACACACACACCGGGAAUAAACUAACACACGCUCGUCUCAAUAUCUCAUGCUCCAGAUCCUAAACCGGGUGCCGCGACGGCAACCCACCCUCAUCCUUGCUCCGGUUACGAAAAAACAGUGACCGCGGCGUGCCAGCCGUUUUCUUGCCCGCCAGCGGCCGCUACACCGGAUACGGUCGGAUCCCACAAGAAUAUACAGUACCGGUCACUGGCCCAUUAUUAUCAUACCGAUUCAUCGGCCGGGGGAUAAGGACGGUCACGCGCGCCCACACGGCCCGGUUCCACGGUGACGCCCGCACGCGAGAGGGACGCGGCCACGCACGGACAGCCGCAAAUAUCUAGGGGCUGGAAUAUGAUAAGAUCGGACGGUUGGAUCGCCGGUUUGUUUAAUCCCGGCCGCUGUUUGUUUUUGCCUCUUGGGUGUGUGUGUGUGUGACUGUGUGUGUGGCCACGCAGCUUCCGUGCGCCGGGAGGCUUCCGGCUCCGGACUCUCUCUCCCUCUCUGUUGCAGCGUUGUUUCAUCGCUGUGUACAGCUAAACUGCGGUCUGCGAAGGGGGUGGAAACUUGCAGGAGCAGUAUUCUAUUCGUGCCGCAAUGGAAUUUCUACACAUCACAGAACUGCGUGUGGAAAUGGUUGAUGUCAAGAUGUCAAAGCGACGGAGGUUUUACCGUGCAUCUUACCGUAGAGGUUGACCGAAUGUGAACUACAGUACUACGUAUCGAUCACCGGAUGGGAAAUGGUCACAUCUGUCGAUCACCAACAAGUCAGCGCCGCGCUCAGGCUCCACGGCCAACUACUUGGAGGCGCUCUGACUUUGACUUGGUUUACUUUUCGUAUUUUAUAACACUCCGAAACGGAGGUGCCCAAAACAGAACAACUCGAGUCUCUUCUUGACGUCAACUCCAACACUACACAGCCUACACUAGACCCAUCUCCUUUUGGGAUAAUAAACCAGGCAAACGGACCAGCCUAACACCUGACCGUAAUCGUAAAAAAAAAGUUCAUUUCACAUCCGGCCCGUCACAUUUCCGAUGCAAAUUUACACCCGAUUUGCGUUCACACGGGCUACGAAUGGACGGGUACGCAUUUGCUCCUCGUCCGUCUCAAACACGUGUGACGGCCUUUCAAAUACCUUCAUCGUUCAAAUUAAACGCGGACAUAUGCAGCGGGUCUGUCAGCGACACAACUGAUGGUUCGUCGUCCUUCUUAAUAUGAAAGCUGUGGACCGUUAAAUAUACAACUUUUACUUUCAAAACCCCUCCUGCCUCCUCCAGCCCCUACAGGAACUAGCAAAAUCCUAGCCUCGCCGUCAUCAUCAUGACCUGGUGUUGGACCAGCAAGGGGAAGCACGACCAUGAUGUCGGCUCCUCCUCGAGUAGCCGCCGCUCCAACCGCUCUAGGAGUCCCCCACCACCGUGUUCGUUGGCAUUUGUCAUCGCGUCGCCUGUAGCCCCACAGCGUGUUCGACCCUAUGUCUUCGCAAACAUCUAUCGUAGGUACUAGGAGACGUCGACACCACUCCGUGGGGAGAUGCCCACCUCCCAACCACUAGCAUGUGUUCGCGGAUCGGGUGCCAAUCCCUCCGGUGCUGGUGAGCGGCUGCGCCCACCGUGAGGAGAUCGACCAACGCCGCGCGCGUCUGCCACCGGUUCUGCUCCACGACCCAAGGUACGCCAUGAACUCGUUGUUGUGGGAUACGUGGCUCCGCGACGAGCACGACUGACGACGACAGUCUUUUUUUGUCGGUCAUCCACCUAGCCCAUGUCGACGUCGUGGUGCUAGCCCGUCCCAAAUGCGCGAGCGUAGGCGUGUGUGUGACCUCAUGCCGACGCCAUCUCCGUCCCCGUCCCCGCCACCACCACCUUCGAUGACCAAGGAGGAGGAGGUCGAGCUCAUAAGGCGUGUCAUGGAGGACUCCAUGAACACGCACGACGAGCGCCAAUGGGUGGGCUUAGAGGCGAUGUUGGUCCCCUCUGCAGUCGGCGACGUGGCCAUCCCAAAGCUGGAGCAGGCCCCCGUGGUGAAGGAGGAGGUCGCGUGGAACCCGCGGCUGGUGGGCCAACGGUGGGGGUGAUCGAGUUGGCCGAUGCGCUGGGUGUCGGACCAUGGUCAGCAAGGCCGUCGCGGUCUCCCGAGCAGGAGCAAGAGCCACGGGAGAAGGUGGUUCAGACGUCGCUAGUGCCUUCGGUCUUGUAGGGACCGCCAACCCACCUUUAACAGCCGUCUCCAUACUUCGACCUCACCAACGAUGUCGACGAGUAGGACGGUGCUCUUGAAGACGACGACAACCUUAUGUUUAAUUGAGAAUUGUGUUAAAUUUGGCUAGAAUGAACAUGUGAACGUUUAAUGUUUUUAUUCAUGGUUUUAUACUAUUUAUAACAUUUAUUUGGGUUCAUUGGGGGUCAUGGGUUGAAGUUGCCCUCAGGGUUCGUAGAUGUAAAUCAAGAUUUCCAACUUCCGCCGGUAUUUGCUUAGUACAAAGCGAGCCACGGUACUAGGGACUAUAACAGUUUGCGUUGCAUUAAAAUAACUGCCAAUUCCCGUCGAACAAUGUCAUUUGUACUGGGUACACAACAAUCCCCAUUCGCCGCACCAAUGAUGGAUUUCGAUCCAGUACACCGUAAGAUACCCAUCCAAGGGCCCACUGAAUUUCGGUGGGUGCAAAAGGAUUCUCACGUGCGCCGCUGAUUGCCUAAUAACGCAUUUCUGGACGAAAAUCAGAAACAGUAUUUUUUUCUUUCUUUCAUGUAUAUGCGCAAAGAUUCCCUCGAUCAUCAUAACCCCAGGUCGUCGUUCUAUACGUUGCGCAUCACUGAUUAUGGAAAGUCAACAGUCAAAAGCCAUGCUCUGUUUCCCCAAUUUACACCAUCACAUUACCAGGAACUGUAAGUAAUGACCGUACAGCAGCACCAAAAUUUUGGCAUCAAUCGGAAGCCAAGACGACGGCAGAAAGGGAAGGUAAAAACUGGAAGUGGCGCGAACUAGCUCGCUAGCUCUGGUAGCUCCAGAGUGGCACGUCGGCGAGGUGAGCCUCGCCGUAAUCGGCGAGCGCCGCGGCCAAGGAAGCAGGCGGCGCCAUGAGCAUCCCCUGCGCCAGGCUCGCGUAGUAAAGGUCCCAUCCCAUGUCGCUCAGGACGUCCAGCUCGAACGGCGAGCCCUCGGCCGCCGGGGAAGAGGACGACUCGUCGUCGGUGAGGGAGGAGGGCGCGGACGAGGAGGUGCAAGAGACCGAGAGCGCGUCGUCCUCCGCGUGCGCCUCGCGCCGCAGCAAGUCCUCGACGGCCUCCACGACGGCGUGGCGGACCUCGUCGAGGCUGCGGUACGAGGAGGCAGCCGGCACGGCGAGUAGCUCGGCGGAGUCGGCGAAGUUGAGGCAGCCCGCGCCCCCGGCGGCGAGCGCGAGCAUGGCGGCGUCGUUCGCGCGCGCGGCGGCCUCGGCGGUGUCGAAGGUACCGAGCCAGAGCCUGCUCCCGCGCCUGCCGGGCACGCGCACCUCGCACAC
RNAcentral lists this long non-coding RNA (17563 nucleotides) under Hordeum vulgare. RNAcentral describes it as "long non-coding RNA (HVUL_LNC013578)". Lineage: Eukaryota; Viridiplantae; Streptophyta; Magnoliopsida; Poales; Poaceae. The record is from RNAcentral.